This 253-nucleotide ribosomal RNA is filed under the name uncultured bacterium. Its description in RNAcentral is "partial 16S ribosomal RNA". It matches the Rfam family "Bacterial small subunit ribosomal RNA", at positions 524 to 776 of the family's 1533-position model. The record is from RNAcentral.
UACGAAGGGGACUAGCGUUGUUCGGAAUCACUGGGCGUAAAGCGCACGUAGGCGGAUCUUUAAGUCAGGGGUGAAAUCCUGGAGCUCAACUCCAGAACUGCCUUUGAUACUGGGGAUCUCGAGUCCGGGAGAGGUGAGUGGAACUGCGAGUGUAGAGGUGAAAUUCGUAGAUAUUCGCAAGAACACCAGUGGCGAAGGCGGCUCACUGGCCCGGUACUGACGCUGAGGUGCGAAAGCGUGGGGAGCAAACAGG